This 263-nucleotide long non-coding RNA is filed under the name Nicotiana benthamiana. Its description in RNAcentral is "long non-coding RNA (NBEN_LNC009221)". Lineage: Eukaryota; Viridiplantae; Streptophyta; Magnoliopsida; Solanales; Solanaceae. The record is from RNAcentral.
UUAAAGCCGAUACAUGAACUUCUGACUUUCCCAUUUAAACAUUUAAACUCUUGAAUCGUAAAACUAAUAAACAUAUUUGACCAUUGACCCAUCCUAUGUGGUGUCAGUUGGUCCUAUUCAGCCCCUUGCUUGAACUUCACGAAUUCCCAACGCGUGAGAGAACCUUAUUGUUUUCCAAAAAAAAUGUCUUUUAUAGGAGAAUUGGUUUAGGUCACUAAUAUGUACCUAAACAUAGUCCAGCAAUAAAAUCACAUGUUCAUUUU